RNAcentral lists this ribosomal RNA (169 nucleotides) under uncultured bacterium. Its description in RNAcentral is "partial 16S ribosomal RNA". It matches the Rfam family "Bacterial small subunit ribosomal RNA", at positions 338 to 524 of the family's 1533-position model. The record is from RNAcentral.
CCUACGGGAGGCAGCAGUGGGGAAUAUUGGACAAUGGGGGGAACCCUGAUCCAGCGACGCCGCGUGAGGGAAGAAGGUUUUCGGUAUGUAAAGCUCUAUCAGCAGGGAAGAUAAUGACGGUACCUGACUAAGAAGCCCCGGCUAACUACGUGCCAGCAGCCGCGGUAAU